CAAUGGACGAAAGUCUGAUGGAGCCAUGCCGCGUGCAGGAUGAAUGCCCUAUGGGUUGUAAACUGCUUUUAUAUAGGAAGAACAUUUUCUACGUGUAGAGAACUGACGGUACUAUAGGAAUAAGGACCGGCUAACUCCGUGCCAGCAGCCGCGGUAAUACGGAGGGUCCAAGCGUUAUCCGGAUUUAUUGGGUUUAAAGGGUCCGUAGGCGGGAGAAUAAGUCAGUGGUGAAAGCCUACAGCUUAACUGUAGAACUGCCAUUGAAACUGUUUUUCUUGAAUUUAGAUGAAGUGGGCGGAAUAUAUCAUGUAGCGGUGAAAUGCAUAGAUAUGAUAUAGAACACCGAUUGCGAAGGCAGCUCACUAAACUAAUAUUGACGCUGAGGGACGAAAGCGUAGGGAGCGAACAGGAUUAGAUACCCUGGUAGUCCACGCCGUAAACGAUGAUUACUCGGUGCUAGCGAUAUACUGUUAGUGCCUAAGCGAAAGCGAUAAGUAAUCCACCUGGGGAGUAUGGUCGCAAGAUUGAAACUCAAAGGAAUUGACGGGGGCCCGCACAAGCGGUGGAGCAUGUGGUUUAAUUCGAUGAUACGCGAGGAACCUUACCUGGGCUUAAAUGUAUUUUGACAGGCUGAGAAAUCAGUCCUUCUUCGGACAAUUUACAAGGUGCUGCAUGGUUGUCGUCAGCUCGUGCUGUGAGGUGUCGGGUUAAGUCCCAUAACGAGCGCAACCCCUAUCCUUAGUUGCCAGCGAGUAAUGUCGGGGACUCUAGGGAAACUGCCGGUGCAAACCGUGAGGAAGGUGGGGAUGACGUCAAAUCAUCACGGCCCUUACGUCCAGGGCUACACACGUGCUACAAUGGCGCAUACAAAGGGCAGCUACAUGGUGACAUGAUGCUAAUCUCUAAAGUGCGUCUCAGUUCGGAUCGAAGUCUGCAACUCGACUUCGUGAAGCUGGAAUCGCUAGUAAUCGCGUAUCAGCAAUGACGCGGUGAAUACGUUCCCGGGCCUUGUACACACCGCCCGUCAAGCCAUGGAAGUUGGGAGUGCCUGAAGUCGGUGACCGCAAGGAGCUGCCUAAGGUAAAACUAGUAACUAGGGCUAAGUCGUAACAAGGUAGCCGUACCGGAAGGUGCGGCUGGAACACCUCCUUUUU
Molecule: ribosomal RNA, 1154 nt
Filed under: uncultured Cryomorphaceae bacterium
Lineage: Bacteria; Pseudomonadati; Bacteroidota; Flavobacteriia; Flavobacteriales; Cryomorphaceae
Description: bacterial SSU rRNA
Rfam family: Bacterial small subunit ribosomal RNA
Source: RNAcentral